UCCCUUCCCAACCUAAAUCCCAAAUUCCUCUCCUCUCCUCUCGAUAGCAUGACGGAGAGCCCCGUUUACGGCGCGGGCAGAAGCGUCGGCUCCCCCGUCAGCCGCGGCAAGGUUGGGCGCCGCACCCGCGGCGCCGGCGGUGCUAUCAGUGGCUGGUGGUGUGGCACCGCGGCGACGGCGAGCCGUGCCUCCGGCCAGAGACCGGGCGUGUGCUCCUCGCUCCCACGCUGACGAUGGACCUGCUGCAGACUCGCGCAGCCACGUGCUCUAGCGACGGCAGUUGGAGACCGGCAGUGCUGCUCGAUGUCCUCGCGAAGAAGUGCCGCGUCAAGCCGACGGAGUUGGGCAUGGAGGAGGCCAGCCCGCCGGCAUUACGUGCACACAUCGCUUACACACUUGGAUCUGCAGCAGCGUGGAUACACUGGGCCUGCCGAGGCCGACGGCUCAAUCUGUAUUACGUACUAUAGUAGUGAAUUAGGAUGUCACUAUGUCAAGUGGAAGAGGAAAAUUGCCAAACUGGCAUGCUAUAUAAUGAAAUUUGUAUGCUACCUUUUCUUGGAAAGUUGCAUCCUAUGUAAAUAUGGCCAGUUAUGUAAUCAAGUUGAACUGGG
Molecule: ribosomal RNA, 611 nt
Filed under: Triticum aestivum (bread wheat)
Lineage: Eukaryota; Viridiplantae; Streptophyta; Magnoliopsida; Poales; Poaceae
Description: partial small subunit ribosomal RNA
Source: RNAcentral